This 1280-nucleotide long non-coding RNA is filed under the name Homo sapiens (human). Its description in RNAcentral is "HSALNT0355116". Lineage: Eukaryota; Metazoa; Chordata; Mammalia; Primates; Hominidae. The record is from RNAcentral.
CCCUGUUUCUGGCAGGAGCCGUCCUCACUCCCUCUAUUGCCUCUCCAGACCCAGACUUCACCCUCAGGUCACCCUCACCUGGACUUUGGGGUGCCCCACACCCCGCCCCAGGCCCUGGCCUCUGGAAUAUUUGGAAACUUGAACUGGGCCAGAGGCUUAAGCUCACAUCUGUCUGGAGCCUCAACUUUCUCCUCUGUAAAAUGGGCUAACACUGAAAGAACCUUGCAGAAUCUCAGCAACGUCACAGAGGACAUUGUUAGCACAGCCAGCGGGCUCCUGCUGGGCUGAGUUUGUGGGUAAUCCAAGCCUCGGCAGGUACAGUUCCUCCCUCAGGGCCCAGGACACAGUGAGCAUACAAUAGACAUUAGCUGCUGUGGUGUCUUGAUUUCAAGCCCAGUGCAGAUGCAUCUGACUUACGAAACUUCAGUGACACCUGCUCUGUGCCAGACACUGAAGAUGGAGCAGUGAACAGCACUGACCCAGCCUGUCCUCCUGUUGCCUGCAGGCCAGAAGCAAGGUCUCGCUGUGUUACCCUGGCUGGAGUGCAGUGGCUACUUACAGGCAUGAUCAUAGCAUACUGCAGCCUCGAACUCCUGGACUAGAGCAGUUCUCCUGCCUCAGCCUCCAGAGCAGCUGGGACUGCAGACACGCACCACAGAGCCCAGCCUGAGUCAUUUUGAUUCUGUAACUGGCUUCCUCUCGGCGGGCAGGCUCACACCCUCCACCCCCAGCUGGAGAUGGAAGGAGGAUGCUCACCGCCCAUUCCUCAUGCAGGCCAUCGAUGGAAAUGUCAGACAGUGCGAGUCCACGCCUGAACACUUCUGGGGUCCGCUCUGGGACUGACACUGGCAGAUCCAUCGUGGCACCCGAGCUCUGUGAGGGCAAGACUUUGUUCGGUUGUGGGCUAUGCCCCCAACCCCUCGGACAGUGCCUGCACAGGUGGACAUUUUUGUUGGAUGAAGGAUUUUCUGUUAAAUGUGUCUGGCACACACAGAAAAACAAAGCCCAGCAGAUGCCGUUCCAUUGUUUGCUGACUUUCAUUGAUUCUAUGAGAAGUCUGCAGUCUUUUGCAGCGUUGUUUUCCUAUGUAUAAUUGUCUCCUCCCACCCCACUCACCCCAGCUGCUUUCCACAUUCUCUCUCUUUGAUUUUCAGCAGUCUGCCCAUGAUGUGCCUAAAUAGGACUUUCUUUGCAUUCAUCUUGGCUGGGGCUCACUGAACUUUCUGAAUCUGUAGAUUAAUUUUCUUUUUUCAAUAAACCUUGGAAUAUUUUCAGCAUAA